GCUUACGACCACACCGGCCUGAGUACGCCUGAUCUCGUCUGAUCUCGGAAGCUAAGCCAGGGUCGGCCUGGUUAGUACUUGGAUGGGAGACCGCCUGGGAAUACCUGGUGCUGUAGCUU
RNAcentral lists this ribosomal RNA (119 nucleotides) under Oncorhynchus kisutch (coho salmon). The record is from RNAcentral. Lineage: Eukaryota; Metazoa; Chordata; Actinopteri; Salmoniformes; Salmonidae.